GUUUCCCCAAGAGAGUGAUUGGCUGGUUCUGGGCACAUUGAACAGACCAUGGCUUUUUAGGCAGCAUUUAAAUAGCCCAGUACUACGGUGCAGACAUGAGCAGUAACACGAGUUACUAUCUGGACCACAUGCCACAGAAUUCAGAUUAUAAUUAUCCCUGGCAUAUCCACACCGGGCGGCUGCUGCAAAUCAGUCACUGAAGUUCCAAGGAAUCCACAAAAAGGUCGGUGCAAAGCCACCCAGUAUGAGUGCUUCAACUACACCGUUCUUCCUCUUGGAUGCAAACAGCCAGGCUCAAGGAGCUAACCACAGCAGUGCUGCAGGAAGGCCAGAGCCAUCGUACGCCGUUCUCAAGUUCAUGGAGAGCUUCUGCCUCAUCAGUGCCGCCUGUGGGAUGGUGGGAAAUGGCAUAGUUCUAUGGUACCUUGGCUUCUGCAUCCGCAGAAACCACUUCACUGUCUACAUCCUAAACCUGGCCGCUGCUGACUUUGGCUAUCUCCUCUGCAUCGCCAUUGAGACUGUCCAGUACCUGAUGCAGUUCAACGUAGGGGUCCAGUUUGGGAUAUUCCUCUUCCUGGAUCUUUUCACGUAUGGGACUGGCUUGUAUCUCCUGACAGCCAUCAGCAUUGAAAGGUGCCUCUCCGUCCUCUGCCCCAUCUGGUGCCGAAGUCACCGCCCAAAGCACUUGUCUGCCAUCAUCUCCGGCCUGCUCUGGUGCCUCUCUCUGCUACUGAACACAGUUGGCUACAUUCUGUGCUCCAUCCACCCCUCUGGCAGCUGCCGGAUGCUGCUCAUUACCAUUGGCGUCUUGGAUUUCCUCGUCUGCACCCCCCUCAUGCUGUUCUUCAGCCUGACCCUCUUCCUCAGAGUCAAGUGCAGCUCCCAGAAGUUCCGGACAGGACGGCUCUUCACCGUCAUCAUGCUCACCGUGCUCUUCUUCCUCAUUUUUGCUGUUCCUCUCAGCGUCCUCAUCCUCUUUGACUUCUUGGGCUACAAAUUCCUCUAUUCGCCCGAGAUCGGCUUUGUGCUGUCCUGUGUGAACAGCAGUCUCAACCCCGUCAUUUACUUCCUUGUGGGGAGCUACAGGGACCGGAGAAUCAAAUUCACCCUCAGACUGGCAUUCCAGAGGGUCUUUGAAGACUCAGCAGAUGACAAAGAGGAACGGGAUACCCGAGACACGAUAACGAUGUCCUCCUAAUAUCAUUCACUAAGAGAGCCCUGGAGAUGGGAGGUGGCCGUUCACAGAGCUGAAGAACUCUGAGGUACUGCGGGAGGUCCAUCCCGCCCAGCCUUAACAGCCUUCAUUCUGAACACCUGCCUUCUCGCUGGUUAUUUGAAGCUCUGCCCAUGUUAGGACUACAUUGCUUUUCAGCGGCCAUUAAAUGAUAAGGUGAAAUGUCUCAAUGGCUGCGUUUCAUCACAGGAAUCCUGCUUAGUUUAUCUGUCAAUAAAGCUCUGUUUUUCAGAGCAUUAAUAUUCAGUCUCUUUUUUUACGCAGACCUCUGGCGAUGAGGGGGAUCUGUGAUCUCCCUGUUGAAAUCAGAUAAGAAGUGAGUCCAACUCCCUUAAUUUUAAGUAUCUGUAUGUCAGCGCCACAUGCAGUCUUUGUGGCUCAUAGCGUGAAUGAUACUUUGCUUCCCAAUGUGAGCAUUUCAAUCAGUGAAAAGCUUCACAUUAUGGAAGUCUCUGUUAAUUGGUUAAUAGUUAUUAGUUAAAAGGAGGGUUUAGCUGCAGCAAGCAUUGGGUUGUUAUUUCUUCCCUUCACAGACAAUAACAACCCGUGGCAUCCAACACUUCUUGACCUACCAGAAGAAGUAAGUUCAAAGAAGGGAAAAAAAAUACAAUAAAGCAGAAAAUGGAAGAUAAACACCUAUCAGAAAUUUGCAACAAAUUCUUUUCCAGACCCAACGCCUGGACACAUAAGAUAUGAUUGUUUGAAAUGUUAGACCAUCACUCCACACAAUAUUUGCUCUUUUAACCCAAAUCAAUAGUGGUCACCCCAACCUCUGUGGUUGCUUUCUGCUUCCUGUUUACAGUUUCUGAAAGCUGAAAAUUGAGUCCCAUUUCUAUUAUUCUUUAAUUUUUAAUGCCAUUUUUUCUGCGACGUACACGUAGUUGAUUCAGGCCAGGCCUGCUGUCAUCAGCUGUCUUUGAGUGAGAUUUUCUUUACUUCUGACUUCUACUGAUGGGGGGAAGAGACUGUCCAUUUAUCUGAAAGCAUGUUAAAAUGUAUUCUUCUUAUUAUCUGUAAUGAUUUUAUCACUGGGAGAGAAGAGGCUCAGCUCAUUUCCUUUAUUAUUAAAAAUGUUCCAAGCCACU
This 2319-nucleotide long non-coding RNA is filed under the name Gallus gallus (chicken). Lineage: Eukaryota; Metazoa; Chordata; Aves; Galliformes; Phasianidae. The record is from RNAcentral.